RNAcentral lists this transfer RNA (86 nucleotides) under Actinobacillus pleuropneumoniae. RNAcentral describes it as "tRNA-Leu". It matches the Rfam family "tRNA". From Rfam's summary of the family: Transfer RNA (tRNA) molecules are approximately 80 nucleotides in length. Their secondary structure includes four short double-helical elements and three loops (D, anti-codon, and T loops). Further hydrogen bonds mediate the characteristic L-shaped molecular structure. tRNAs have two regions of fundamental functional importance: the anti-codon, which is responsible for specific mRNA codon recognition, and the 3' end, to which the tRNAs corresponding amino acid is attached (by aminoacyl-tRNA synthetases). tRNAs cope with the degeneracy of the genetic code in two manners: having more than one tRNA (with a specific anti-codon) for a particular amino acid; and 'wobble' base-pairing, i.e. permitting non-standard base-pairing at the 3rd anti-codon position. Lineage: Bacteria; Pseudomonadati; Pseudomonadota; Gammaproteobacteria; Pasteurellales; Pasteurellaceae. The record is from RNAcentral. RNAcentral also lists the same sequence under 8 other names.
GCCUGAGUGACGAAAUUGGUAGACGUAGCGGAUUCAAAAUCCGCCGGUGAAUAACCAUGUCGGUUCGAGUCCGACCUCAGGCACCA